This 2907-nucleotide ribosomal RNA is filed under the name Salmonella enterica. Its description in RNAcentral is "23S ribosomal RNA". It matches the Rfam family "Bacterial large subunit ribosomal RNA". The record is from RNAcentral. Lineage: Bacteria; Pseudomonadati; Pseudomonadota; Gammaproteobacteria; Enterobacterales; Enterobacteriaceae.
GGUUAAGCGACUAAGCGUACACGGUGGAUGCCCUGGCAGUCAGAGGCGAUGAAGGGCGUGCUAAUCUGCGAUAAGCGCCGGUAAGGUGAUAUGAACCGUUAUAACCGGCGAUACCCGAAUGGGGAAACCCAGUGUGACUCGUCACACUAUCAUUAACUGAAUCCAUAGGUUAAUGAGGCGAACCGGGGGAACUGAAACAUCUAAGUACCCCGAGGAAAAGAAAUCAACCGAGAUUCCCCCAGUAGCGGCGAGCGAACGGGGAGGAGCCCAGAGCCUGAAUCAGCAUGUGUGUUAGUGGAAGCGUCUGGAAAGGCGCGCGAUACAGGGUGACAGCCCCGUACACAAAAGCGCAUGUGCUGUGAGCUCGAUGAGUAGGGCGGGACACGUGGUAUCCUGUCUGAAUAUGGGGGGACCAUCCUCCAAGGCUAAAUACUCCUGACUGACCGAUAGUGAACCAGUACCGUGAGGGAAAGGCGAAAAGAACCCCGGCGAGGGGAGUGAAAAAGAACCUGAAACCGUGUACGUACAAGCAGUGGGAGCACAGGUUUACCUGUGUGACUGCGUACCUUUUGUAUAAUGGGUCAGCGACUUAUAUUCUGUAGCAAGGUUAACCGAAUAGGGGAGCCGCAGGGAAACCGAGUCUUAACCGGGCGUUAAGUUGCAGGGUAUAGACCCGAAACCCGGUGAUCUAGCCAUGGGCAGGUUGAAGGUUGGGUAACACUAACUGGAGGACCGAACCGACUAAUGUUGAAAAAUUAGCGGAUGACCUGUGGCUGGGGGUGAAAGGCCAAUCAAACCGGGAGAUAGCUGGUUCUCCCCGAAAGCUAUUUAGGUAGCGCCUCGUGAAUUCAUCUCCGGGGGUAGAGCACUGUUUCGGCUAGGGGGCCAUCCCGGCUUACCAACCCGAUGCAAACUGCGAAUACCGGAGAAUGUUAUCACGGGAGACACACGGCGGGUGCUAACGUCCGUCGUGAAGAGGGAAACAACCCAGACCGCCAGCUAAGGUCCCAAAGUCAUGGUUAAGUGGGAAACGAUGUGGGAAGGCCCAGACAGCCAGGAUGUUGGCUUAGAAGCAGCCAUCAUUUAAAGAAAGCGUAAUAGCUCACUGGUCGAGUCGGCCUGCGCGGAAGAUGUAACGGGGCUAAACCAUGCACCGAAGCUGCGGCAGCGACACUGUGUGUUGUUGGGUAGGGGAGCGUUCUGUAAGCCUGUGAAGGUGGCCUGUGAGGGUUGCUGGAGGUAUCAGAAGUGCGAAUGCUGACAUAAGUAACGAUAAAGCGGGUGAAAAGCCCGCUCGCCGGAAGACCAAGGGUUCCUGUCCAACGUUAAUCGGGGCAGGGUGAGUCGACCCCUAAGGCGAGGCCGAAAGGCGUAGUCGAUGGGAAACGGGUUAAUAUUCCCGUACUUGGUGUUACUGCGAAGGGGGGACGGAGAAGGCUAUGUUGGCCGGGCGACGGUUGUCCCGGUUUAAGCGUGUAGGUGUGUGUUCCAGGUAAAUCCGGUUCACUUUAACACUGAGGCGUGACGACGAGGCACUACGGUGCUGAAGCAACAAAUGCCCUGCUUCCAGGAAAAGCCUCUAAGCAUCAGGUAACAUCAAAUCGUACCCCAAACCGACACAGGUGGUCAGGUAGAGAAUACCAAGGCGCUUGAGAGAACUCGGGUGAAGGAACUAGGCAAAAUGGUGCCGUAACUUCGGGAGAAGGCACGCUGACAUGUAGGUGAAGUGAUUUACUCAUGGAGCUGAAGUCAGUCGAAGAUACCAGCUGGCUGCAACUGUUUAUUAAAAACACAGCACUGUGCAAACACGAAAGUGGACGUAUACGGUGUGACGCCUGCCCGGUGCCGGAAGGUUAAUUGAUGGGGUCAGCGCAAGCGAAGCUCCUGAUCGAAGCCCCGGUAAACGGCGGCCGUAACUAUAACGGUCCUAAGGUAGCGAAAUUCCUUGUCGGGUAAGUUCCGACCUGCACGAAUGGCGUAAUGAUGGCCAGGCUGUCUCCACCCGAGACUCAGUGAAAUUGAACUCGCUGUGAAGAUGCAGUGUACCCGCGGCAAGACGGAAAGACCCCGUGAACCUUUACUAUAGCUUGACACUGAACAUUGAGCCUUGAUGUGUAGGAUAGGUGGGAGGCUUUGAAGUGUGGACGCCAGUCUGCAUGGAGCCGACCUUGAAAUACCACCCUUUAAUGUUUGAUGUUCUAACGUGGACCCGUUACCCGGGUUGCGGACAGUGUCUGGUGGGUAGUUUGACUGGGGCGGUCUCCUCCUAAAGAGUAACGGAGGAGCACGAAGGUUGGCUAAUCCUGGUCGGACAUCAGGAGGUUAGUGCAAUGGCAUAAGCCAGCUUGACUGCGAGCGUGACGGCGCGAGCAGGUGCGAAAGCAGGUCAUAGUGAUCCGGUGGUUCUGAAUGGAAGGGCCAUCGCUCAACGGAUAAAAGGUACUCCGGGGAUAACAGGCUGAUACCGCCCAAGAGUUCAUAUCGACGGCGGUGUUUGGCACCUCGAUGUCGGCUCAUCACAUCCUGGGGCUGAAGUAGGUCCCAAGGGUAUGGCUGUUCGCCAUUUAAAGUGGUACGCGAGCUGGGUUUAGAACGUCGUGAGACAGUUCGGUCCCUAUCUGCCGUGGGCGCUGGAGAACUGAGGGGGGCUGCUCCUAGUACGAGAGGACCGGAGUGGACGCAUCACUGGUGUUCGGGUUGUCAUGCCAAUGGCACUGCCCGGUAGCUAAAUGCGGAAGAGAUAAGUGCUGAAAGCAUCUAAGCACGAAACUUGCCCCGAGAUGAGUUCUCCCUGAGACUUAGAGUCUCCUGAAGGAACGUUGAAGACGACGACGUUGAUAGGCCGGGUGUGUAAGCGCAGCGAUGCGUUGAGCUAACCGGUACUAAUGAACCGUGAGGCUUAACCUU